Molecule: ribosomal RNA, 497 nt
Filed under: uncultured bacterium
Lineage: Bacteria
Description: partial 16S ribosomal RNA
Rfam family: Bacterial small subunit ribosomal RNA
Source: RNAcentral
GAUGAACGCUGGCGGCGUGCCUAAUACAUGCAAGUCGAGCGAACGGACGAGAAGCUUGCUUUUCUGAUGUUAGCGGCGGACGGGUGAGUAACACGUGGAUAACCUACCUAUAUGUCUGGGAUAACUUCGGGAAAACGGUGCUAAUACCGGAUAAUAUUUUGAACCGCAUGGUUCAAAAGUGAAAGACGGCCUUGCUGUCACUUAUAGAUGGAUCCGCGCUGCAUUAGCUAGUUGGUAAGGUAACGGCUUACCAAGGCAACGAUGCAUAGCCGACCUGAGAGGAUGAUCGGCCACACUGGAACUGAGACACGGUCCAGACUCCUACGGGAGGCAGCAGUAGGGAAUCUUCGGCAAUGGGCGAAAGCCUGACGGAGCAACGCCGCGUGAGUGAUGAAGGUCUUCGGAUCGUAAAACUCUGUUAUUAGGGAAGAACAUAUGUGUAAGUAACUGUGCACAUCUUGACGGUACCUAAUCAGAAAGCCCCGGCUAACUACGUG